Molecule: ribosomal RNA, 492 nt
Filed under: uncultured bacterium
Lineage: Bacteria
Description: partial 16S ribosomal RNA
Rfam family: Bacterial small subunit ribosomal RNA
Source: RNAcentral
AGUGAACGCUGGCGGUAGGCCUAACACAUGCAAGUCGAACGGCAGCACAGUAAGAGCUUGCUCUUACGGGUGGCGAGUGGCGGACGGGUGAGGAAUACAUCGGAAUCUACUUUUUCGUGGGGGAUAACGUAGGGAAACUUACGCUAAUACCGCAUACGACCUACGGGUGAAAGCAGGGGAUCUUCGGACCUUGCGCGAUUGAAUGAGCCGAUGUCGGAUUAGCUAGUUGGCGGGGUAAAGGCCCACCAAGGCGACGAUCCGUAGCUGGUCUGAGAGGAUGAUCAGCCACACUGGAACUGAGACACGGUCCAGACUCCUACGGGAGGCAGCAGUGGGGAAUAUUGGACAAUGGGCGCAAGCCUGAUCCAGCCAUACCGCGUGGGUGAAGAAGGCCUUCGGGUUGUAAAGCCCUUUUGUUGGGAAAGAAAAGCAGCAGGUUAAUACCCCGCUGUUCUGACGGUACCCAAAGAAUAAGCACCUGCUAGCUUCGUG